Molecule: ribosomal RNA, 497 nt
Filed under: uncultured bacterium
Lineage: Bacteria
Description: partial 16S ribosomal RNA
Rfam family: Bacterial small subunit ribosomal RNA
Source: RNAcentral
GAUGAACGCUGGCGGCGUGCCUAAUACAUGCAAGUCGAGCGAACAGACGAGGAGCUUGCUCCUCUGACGUUAGCGGCGGACGGGUGAGUAACACGUGGAUAACCUACCUAUAAGACUGGGAUAACUUCGGGAAACCGGAGCUAAUACCGGAUAAUAUAUUGAACCGCAUGGUUCAAUAGUGAAAGACGGUUUUGCUGUCACUUAUAGAUGGAUCCGCGCCGCAUUAGCUAGUUGGUAAGGUAACGGCUUACCAAGGCAACGAUGCGUAGCCGACCUGUGAGGGUGAUCGGCCACACUGGAACUGGGACGCGGUCCAGACUCCUACGGGAGGCAGCAGUAGGGAAUCUUCCGCAAUGGGCGAAAGCCUGACGGAGCAACGCCGCGUGAGUGAUGAAGGUCUUCGGAUCGGAAAACUCUGUUAUUAGGGAAGAACAAAUGUGUAAGUAACUAUGCACGUCUUGACGGUACCUAAUCAGAAAGCCACGGCUAACUACGUG